This 243-nucleotide long non-coding RNA is filed under the name Nicotiana benthamiana. RNAcentral's name for it is "long non-coding RNA (NBEN_LNC021607)". The record is from RNAcentral. Lineage: Eukaryota; Viridiplantae; Streptophyta; Magnoliopsida; Solanales; Solanaceae.
UAACCAUGAAAUUACCAUACUAUUACACCUGUCCCAUAAUCUCUGUUGAGCAGCAUUAGUAGCUGGUCGAGGACAAGUUCCAUCUAUAAAGCCAAUUUUAUUUUUAGCAGUCAAAGCAACAACCAUUUUUCUUCUCCAUCCCCCAAAACCAUCACCUGAGAAGGGUGUGGGGACGAGAGAUACCCCGGGAACAUCGGAGGAGUAUAGAAAUAAGGGACUUGAAGAGUCCAAAAGACCAGUGUU